CCCUACCCUAAGUUUUUCAAUUCCUAGAUCUAGACUAAAAAAACAAAGCGGCGGAGCUUCCAGAAAAUGAAGAGGAGACCAUCGUCUCCAAUUCUAAAAGAAAAACAGAGUACGAAACUAAGCAAAUACUUGUAGUUUCCUGUAAAUUCAAACUUUCUCCAAUUGAUUCCGUGUAGCAGAACAAACCCUUUUCAUUUUUCCAUCUAUAUAGUGAGAAUUCGUUCAAAGUCAUUAAUUCUUAUUCUUUCAAAGGCGCACCUCUCUUUCUUUUGUAAAAACAUCCAAAUCGAUCGCAACCCCUCUUUUAUUCUUUGGUUUUCUUCUGUUUUGGUAAUAUCAAAGUCUGAGCCUUGUCACGGCCAAGAGUUCUUUCGAUCUCGAACACCCCAUGGUUUAGCUAGAAUUUCGAGUUGGGUUCAAUAGGUUCGAGUUUAACCGGCGUAGUUUUUUUUGGAUUAAAAAUUGUUCGCAUUAGAGAUAAACGGACAGAUCCGGAAAAGUUAUUGUCCGAGUCUCCGUUCAGUUGCACGCCGAGGUACUGUCGUUGUUGCCGUUGAGGUCUUGAGUAGCCGGUUUCGUCCGGGUUCACCGUCGAAAGCUCCGGUCAGGAAUCAUCAAGUUUGUUUAGCCUCUUGAAGUUCCGAUUUGGUUGAUUUAUACCAAAGGUACUGAGACAUGUACUACCAGUGUUCACACAGACGCGUAGCCGCACUUCUACGGAGACUUAGUGGUGAGAUGCCUGCCUUGAUCCGAUCAGUAGCACCGGAGUCUCCCUCUAUCUUGUUUAUUAGUUCUGUCCAUUACCCUUCAGAUAAUAGUUGUAUUAGUUUUGUAUAUUCUCUAGAUUGCUCAUGCACUUGUGGCACCGGAUUUUGGGGGCUUGAAUUUUAGCAUUUAUGUAAUGUUGUACUUAUCAUUACUGUCUCUACAGUUGAUGCAUUUCUCACACUGGUAUUUUUAUUGAGAAAAGAGUAUGUAUGGUUGCAUGAGACC
This is a long non-coding RNA of Nicotiana attenuata, 993 nucleotides long. RefSeq lists it as uncharacterized. The record is from RefSeq and is a predicted model, not a curated record. NCBI's taxonomy places the organism in Eukaryota, Viridiplantae, Streptophyta, Magnoliopsida, Solanales, Solanaceae. The transcript has 2 exons.